Molecule: long non-coding RNA, 528 nt
Filed under: Capra hircus (goat)
Lineage: Eukaryota; Metazoa; Chordata; Mammalia; Artiodactyla; Bovidae
Description: lncRNA (ENSCHIG00000005447.1)
Source: RNAcentral
AUGGAAUGGUUACCACUAGCAACAACAUCCUGUUGCUAGGCAAAUUCAGGUCAGCUCUGGGAGUAAACAAGCAGCCUCUAGUCGCAGAGGUAUGGCAAUGAAUGAUGUACAGCUCCCCGUGACCUAUGGAGUGUAUUUCAGCAGCCACGGGUCUGUUACUACAUAGGUGAGAAAAACUGAAGAUACACAACUUGCCCAAGGGUCUUACAAUUGAUCGUAACAGUGUGCUAAGAACUAGCCAGAGAAAGAAACUGAAGAAAUACUCAGCUUUGCUGUUUAUGGCCUUCAUCCUACAUCCAGCUCUUUAUCAUCAUUUUUGGGCUGGGCCCAGCAAGGUCUCUCACAUAUCCAUACCCAGGAGCUCCUGACAGUCUCAUGCACAAAGGAGCCCUGUGACAGAAUUCAUCUCACAGACGAGGCACGCCAGAUGAGAUCAGGGUGUACAGUCGUCAUGUGGGACUAGGAGCAUAAAGGGACCUGCCUGGAUAGCCCCUCAAAUGUGUAUUUCUCACACCAUCUCACCAAGCC